GCUUGUCUCAAAGAUUAAGCCAUGCAUGUCUUAGUGUAAAUAACUCUUAUGAAACUGCGAAUGGCUCAUUAAAUCAGUUAUCAAAUACGUGAUGGUCGCCUACUACAUGGAUAACCGUAGUAAUUCUAGAGCUAAUACAUGCACAAAGGCCCACUCACGUGGGUUGUGAUUAUUAGAUACAACCGACCUCCUUCUGGAGCCUUUUGUCGACUCAUAGUAACUUCUCGAAUCGGAGGCUUGCCUCCGAUAGUUCAUUCAAAUUUCUGCCCUAUCAGCUUUCGACGGUAGUGUAGUGGACUACCGUGGCGUUAACGGGUAACG
RNAcentral lists this ribosomal RNA (321 nucleotides) under uncultured fungus. RNAcentral's name for it is "partial small subunit ribosomal RNA". It matches the Rfam family "Eukaryotic small subunit ribosomal RNA", at positions 30 to 364 of the family's 1831-position model. Lineage: Eukaryota; Fungi. The record is from RNAcentral.